This 1789-nucleotide ribosomal RNA is filed under the name Escherichia coli. Its description in RNAcentral is "partial 23S ribosomal RNA". It matches the Rfam family "Bacterial large subunit ribosomal RNA", at positions 1025 to 2798 of the family's 2925-position model. Lineage: Bacteria; Pseudomonadati; Pseudomonadota; Gammaproteobacteria; Enterobacterales; Enterobacteriaceae. The record is from RNAcentral.
ACCCAGACCGCCAGCUAAGGUCCCAAAGUCAUGGUUAAGUGGGAAACGAUGUGGGAAGGCCCAGACAGCCAGGAUGUUGGCUUAGAAGCAGCCAUCAUUUAAAGAAAGCGUAAUAGCUCACUGGUCGAGUCGGCCUGCGCGGAAGAUGUAACGGGGCUAAACCAUGCACCGAAGCUGCGGCAGCGACGCUUAUGCGUUGUUGGGUAGGGGAGCGUUCUGUAAGCCUGUGAAGGUGUGCUGUGAGGCAUGCUGGAGGUAUCAGAAGUGCGAAUGCUGACAUAAGUAACGAUAAAGCGGGUGAAAAGCCCGCUCGCCGGAAGACCAAGGGUUCCUGUCCAACGUUAAUCGGGGCAGGGUGAGUCGACCCCUAAGGCGAGGCCGAAAGGCGUAGUCGAUGGGAAACAGGUUAAUAUUCCUGUACUUGGUGUUACUGCGAAGGGGGGACGGAGAAGGCUAUGUUGGCCGGGCGACGGUUGUCCCGGUUUAAGCGUGUAGGCUGGUUUUCCAGGCAAAUCCGGAAAAUCAAGGCUGAGGCGUGAUGACGAGGCACUACGGUGCUGAAGCAACAAAUGCCCUGCUUCCAGGAAAAGCCUCUAAGCAUCAGGUAACAUCAAAUCGUACCCCAAACCGACACAGGUGGUCAGGUAGAGAAUACCAAGGCGCUUGAGAGAACUCGGGUGAAGGAACUAGGCAAAAUGGUGCCGUAACUUCGGGAGAAGGCACGCUGAUAUGUAGGUGAAGUCCCUCGCGGAUGGAGCUGAAAUCAGUCGAAGAUACCAGCUGGCUGCAACUGUUUAUUAAAAACACAGCACUGUGCAAACACGAAAGUGGACGUAUACGGUGUGACGCCUGCCCGGUGCCGGAAGGUUAAUUGAUGGGGUCAGCGCAAGCGAAGCUCUUGAUCGAAGCCCCGGUAAACGGCGGCCGUAACUAUAACGGUCCUAAGGUAGCGAAAUUCCUUGUCGGGUAAGUUCCGACCUGCACGAAUGGCGUAAUGAUGGCCAGGCUGUCUCCACCCGAGACUCAGUGAAAUUGAACUCGCUGUGAAGAUGCAGUGUACCCGCGGCAAGACGGAAAGACCCCGUGAACCUUUACUAUAGCUUGACACUGAACAUUGAGCCUUGAUGUGUAGGAUAGGUGGGAGGCUUAGAAGUGUGGACGCCAGUCUGCAUGGAGCCGACCUUGAAAUACCACCCUUUAAUGUUUGAUGUUCUAACGUUGACCCGUAAUCCGGGUUGCGGACAGUGUCUGGUGGGUAGUUUGACUGGGGCGGUCUCCUCCUAAAGAGUAACGGAGGAGCACGAAGGUUGGCUAAUCCUGGUCGGACAUCAGGAGGUUAGUGCAAUGGCAUAAGCCAGCUUGACUGCGAGCGUGACGGCGCGAGCAGGUGCGAAAGCAGGUCAUAGUGAUCCGGUGGUUCUGAAUGGAAGGGCCAUCGCUCAACGGAUAAAAGGUACUCCGGGGAUAACAGGCUGAUACCGCCCAAGAGUUCAUAUCGACGGCGGUGUUUGGCACCUCGAUGUCGGCUCAUCACAUCCUGGGGCUGAAGUAGGUCCCAAGGGUAUGGCUGUUCGCCAUUUAAAGUGGUACGCGAGCUGGGUUUAGAACGUCGUGAGACAGUUCGGUCCCUAUCUGCCGUGGGCGCUGGAGAACUGAGGGGGGCUGCUCCUAGUACGAGAGGACCGGAGUGGACGCAUCACUGGUGUUCGGGUUGUCAUGCCAAUGGCACUGCCCGGUAGCUAAAUGCGGAAGAGAUAAGUGCUGAAAGCAUCUAAGCACGAAACUUGCC